RNAcentral lists this long non-coding RNA (390 nucleotides) under Lupinus angustifolius (narrow-leaved blue lupine). Its description in RNAcentral is "long non-coding RNA (LANG_LNC002443)". Lineage: Eukaryota; Viridiplantae; Streptophyta; Magnoliopsida; Fabales; Fabaceae. The record is from RNAcentral.
UUGAAUUUGUUGAAACCACUAAACAACUAGCGAAUAUUUUCACCAAGCCCAUUCCACAGGAUACAUUAUUUGUUCUUAGAAGAGAACUUGGAAUUCUUGAUGAACAAUAUCUCAUUUAGUUUGGUUGAUGGUAUUGUGUGCCUUUGCAUGAUAAAUAUGCUUAUCUAUGUAAUAUAUGUUGAAUGCAUGAUUCCUUUGUACUUAUAAAUUGUAGUCAUGAUUAUGUGUUUAUGUGCUAGAAGUGUUUAACUUUGUCUAGAAUAAAUUCUUAGGUUAAAUGUCUUAGCAUGCCAUGCCAUUCUAAAAAAUGUACUCAAAUAUGUGAUUUUGCUGAUAAUAAUCGAUUAACCUAUGUCAUAAUCGAUUAACCUAUGUCAUAAUCGAUGAAGA